UCGAGAUAACUGCAGAGCUGAUAACUACUUGACUGAGUCGUCAUCUCGCCUUCUGCGUUUGUUCUACUGUCGUGACCUUCAGUAUGGAUACAUGCACUUGUCGGAGCCCAUGAAACGAUACGAAACCACGUUGGAUUCCCAUGGCAGUAACCUGAAAGACAGACCAAAAAAAAAAAAA
This is a long non-coding RNA of Hippocampus comes (tiger tail seahorse), 178 nucleotides long. RefSeq lists it as uncharacterized. The record is from RefSeq and is a predicted model, not a curated record. The transcript has 2 exons. Lineage: Eukaryota; Metazoa; Chordata; Actinopteri; Syngnathiformes; Syngnathidae.